GACGAACGCUGGCGGCGUGCUUAACACAUGCAAGUCGAACGGAAAGGCCCCUUUGGGGGUACUCGAGUGGCGAACGGGUGAGUAACACGUGAGUAACCUGCCCUUGACUUCGGGAUAACUUCAGGAAACUGGGGCUAAUACCGGAUAGGAAUCCUUGCUGCAUGGUGGGGGUUGGAAAGCUUCGGCGGUUUUGGAUGGACUCGCGGCUUAUCAGCUUGUUGGUGGGGUUGUGGCUUACCAAGGCUUUGACGGGUAGCCGGCCUGAGAGGGCGACCGGCCACAUUGGGACUGAGAUACGGCCCAGACUCCUACGGGAGGCAGCAGUGGGGAAUAUUGCACAAUGGGCGGAAGCCUGAUGCAGCAACGCCGCGUGCGGGAGGACGGCCUUCGGGUUGUAAACCGCUUUCAGCAGGGGCGAAGCUUGUGGUGACGGUACCUGCAGAAGAAGCACCGGCUAACUACGUG
This 465-nucleotide ribosomal RNA is filed under the name uncultured bacterium. RNAcentral describes it as "partial 16S ribosomal RNA". It matches the Rfam family "Bacterial small subunit ribosomal RNA", at positions 28 to 507 of the family's 1533-position model. The record is from RNAcentral.